ACAGGUGCUGCAUGGCUGUCGUCAGCUCGUGUCGUGAGAUGUUGGGUUAAGUCCCGUAACGAGCGCAACCCUUGUCCUUAGUUACCAGCACGUUAUGGUGGGCACUCUAAGGAGACUGCCGGUGACAAACCGGAGGAAGGUGGGGAUGACGUCAAGUCCUCAUGGCCUUUAUGACCAGGGCUACACACGUACUACAAUGGCCGAUACAAAGGGCAGCGACACUGCGAGGUGAAGCCAAUCCCGUAAAAUCGGUCUCAGUCCGGAUUGGAGUCUGCAACUCGACUCCAUGAAGUUGGAAUCGCUAGUAAUCGUGGAUCAGCAUGCCACGGUGAAUACGUUCCCGGGCCUU
Molecule: ribosomal RNA, 349 nt
Filed under: uncultured Desulfobulbus sp.
Lineage: Bacteria; Pseudomonadati; Thermodesulfobacteriota; Desulfobulbia; Desulfobulbales; Desulfobulbaceae
Description: bacterial SSU rRNA
Rfam family: Bacterial small subunit ribosomal RNA
Source: RNAcentral